This 408-nucleotide ribosomal RNA is filed under the name uncultured bacterium. RNAcentral's name for it is "partial 16S ribosomal RNA". It matches the Rfam family "Bacterial small subunit ribosomal RNA", at positions 29 to 526 of the family's 1533-position model. The record is from RNAcentral.
AGUGAACGCUGGCGGCGUGCCUAAUACAUGCAAGUCGAACGGAGUGGCGCACGGGUGAGUAAUGUAUAUCUAAUCUGCCCUACACUAGAGGACAACAGCUGGAAACGACUGCUAAUACUCUAUAGUGUAGGAUGAGGCUAUAAUGUAUCAGCUAGUUGGUGAGGUAAUGGCGCACCAAGGUUAUGACGCAUAACUGGUCUGAGAGGAUGAUGAGUCACACUCGAACUGAGACACGAUGCAGACUCCUACGGGAGUGAGCAGUAGGGAAUAGUGCUCAAGGGGGGAGACCCUGAAACAGCAACGCCGCGUGAAGGAUGACAAUUUGCGAAGCGUAAACUCCGUUUGUUAGGGAAGCGGUACCUAACGAAGAAGCACCGGCUAACUCCGUGCCAGCAGCCGCGGUAAUAC